UUCGCAAUGCCCGAAAGGGUGACGAAGCGACGCCGCGUGUGGGAAGAAGGCCUUCGGGUUGUAAACCACUGUCGGGAGUUAAGAAAUGCAAGGAUAUGAAUAGUGUCUUUGCUUGACUAAGGCUCCGGAGGAAGCCACGGCUAACUCUGUGCCAGCAGCCGCGGUAAUACAGAGGCGGCAAGCGUUGUUCGGAAUUAUUGGGCGUAAAGAGCACGUAGGCGGCUAUGUAAGUCGGUUGUGAUAGCCUUCCGCUCAACGGGAGAACAGCAUCCGAUACUGCAUGGCUUGAGUGCGGGAGGGGAGAGUGGAACUUCUGGUGGAGCGGCGAAAUGCGUAGAUAUCAGAAGGAACGCCGGCGGCGAAAGCGGCUCUCUGGCCCAUAACUGACGCUGAGUGUGCGAAAGCUAGGGGAGCAAACGGGAUUAGAUACCCCGGUAGUCCUAGCCGUAAACGAUGGGCACUAAGUAGAGGGGUUUU
Molecule: ribosomal RNA, 477 nt
Filed under: uncultured anaerobic ammonium-oxidizing bacterium
Lineage: Bacteria
Description: bacterial SSU rRNA
Rfam family: Bacterial small subunit ribosomal RNA
Source: RNAcentral